GAUGAACGCUAGCGGCAGGCCUAAUACAUGCAAGUCGAGCGGCAAGUUGAGUAGUAAUACUUGACCUAGAGCGGCGCACGGGUGCGUAACGCGUAUGCAACCUACCUUUUACUGGGGGAUAGCCCGGAGAAAUCUGGAUUAAUACCCCAUGGUAUCUACGAAUCGAUUGGUUUGUAGCUUAAAGAUUUAUCGGUAAAAGAUGGGCAUGCGUCUGAUUAGCUAGUUGGCGGGUAACGGCCCACCAAGGCGACGAUCAGUAGGGGUUCUGAGAGGAAGGUCCCCCACACUGGCACUGAGAUACGGGCCAGACUCCUACGGGAGGCAGCAGUGAGGAAUAUUGGGCAAUGGGCGCUAGCCUGACCAGCCAUGCCGCGUGCAGGAAGACGGUCCUAUGGAUUGUAAACUGCUUUUGUACGGGAAGAAACCCUACUACGUGUAGUAGAUUGACGGUACCGUACGAAUAAGGAUCGGCUAACUCCGUG
RNAcentral lists this ribosomal RNA (482 nucleotides) under uncultured bacterium. RNAcentral describes it as "bacterial SSU rRNA". It matches the Rfam family "Bacterial small subunit ribosomal RNA", at positions 28 to 507 of the family's 1533-position model. The record is from RNAcentral.